This 245-nucleotide unclassified non-coding RNA is filed under the name uncultured delta proteobacterium. RNAcentral describes it as "contains 16S-23S intergenic spacer region". The record is from RNAcentral. Lineage: Bacteria; Deltaproteobacteria.
UGGACUAGACAACAGCGGACCUUCCUAUUUCUAGGAAGGUCCGCUGUUGUCUAGUCCAGGUAAGGUUCUUCGCGUUGCGUCGAAUUGAACCACAUGCUCCACCGCUUGUGCGGGCCCCCGUCAAUUCCUUUGAGUUUUAAUCUUGCGACCGUACUCCCCAGGCGGGGCACUUAAUGCGUUAGCUGCGGCACCCAGGGGGUCAAUACCCCGGACACCUAGUGCCCAUCGUUUACAGCGUGGACUAC